CCUACGGGGAGCAGCAGUGGGGAAUAUUGGACAAUGGGCGAAAGCCUGAUCCAGCCAUGCCGCGUGUGUGAAGAAGGCCUUCGGGUUGUAAAGCACUUUCAGUGGGGAAGAAAGCCUUGGGGCUAAUACCCUCGAGGAAGGACAUCACCCACAGAAGAAGCACCGGCUAACUCCGUGCCAGCAGCCGCGGUAAUACGGAGGGUGCGAGCGUUAAUCGGAAUUACUGGGCGUAAAGCGCGCGUAGGCGGUCUGAUAAGCCGGUUGUGAAAGCCCCGGGCUCAACCUGGGAACGGCAUCCGGAACUGUCAGGCUAGAGUGCAGGAGAGGAAGGUAGAAUUCCCGGUGUAGCGGUGACAUGCGUAGAGAUCGGGAGGAAUACCAGUGGCGAAGGCGGCCUUCUGGACUGACACUGACGCUGAGGUGCGAAAGCGUGGGUAGCAAACAGGAUUAGAUACCCGAGUAGUC
RNAcentral lists this ribosomal RNA (465 nucleotides) under Vreelandella stevensii. RNAcentral's name for it is "partial 16S ribosomal RNA". It matches the Rfam family "Bacterial small subunit ribosomal RNA", at positions 338 to 795 of the family's 1533-position model. The record is from RNAcentral. Lineage: Bacteria; Pseudomonadati; Pseudomonadota; Gammaproteobacteria; Oceanospirillales; Halomonadaceae.